RNAcentral lists this ribosomal RNA (253 nucleotides) under uncultured bacterium. Its description in RNAcentral is "partial 16S ribosomal RNA". It matches the Rfam family "Bacterial small subunit ribosomal RNA", at positions 524 to 776 of the family's 1533-position model. The record is from RNAcentral.
UACGUGGGGGGCAAGCGUUGUUCGGAAUUACUGGGCGUAAAGGGCGCGUAGGCGGCUCGCUAAGUCGGAUGUGAAAACUCUGGGCUCAACCCAGAGCCUGCAUUCGAAACUGACGAGCUCGAGUUCUGGAGGGGAAAGCGGAAUUCCUGGUGUAGCGGUGAAAUGCGUAGAUAUCAGGAGGAACACCGGUGGCGAAGGCGGCUUUCUGGACAGAAACUGACGCUGAUGCGCGAAAGCUAGGGGAGCAAACAGG